Molecule: ribosomal RNA, 484 nt
Filed under: uncultured bacterium
Lineage: Bacteria
Description: partial 16S ribosomal RNA
Rfam family: Bacterial small subunit ribosomal RNA
Source: RNAcentral
AUUGAACGCUGGCGGCAGGCCUAACACAUGCAAGUCGAGCGGAUGAAGGGAGCUUGCUCCUGGAUUCAGCGGCGGACGGGUGAGUAAUGCCUAGGAAUCUGCCUGGUCGUGGGGGAUAACGUCCGGAAACGGGCGCUAAUACCGCAUACGUCCUGAGGGAGAAAGGGGGGGAUCUUCGGACCUCACGCUAUCAGAUGAGCCUAGGUCGGAUUAGCUAGUUGGUGGGGUAAAGGCCUACCAAGGCGACGAUCCGUAACUGGUCUGAGAGGAUGAUCAGUCACACUGGAACUGAGACACGGUCCAGACUCCUACGGGAGGCAGCAGUAGGGAAUAUUGGACAAUGGGCGAAAGCCUGAUCCAGCCAUGCCGCGUGUGUGAAGAAGGUCUUCGGAUUGUAAAGCACUUUAAGUUGGGAGGAAGAGCAGUAAGUUAAUACCUUGCUGUUUUGACGUUACCAGCAGAAUAAGCACCGGCUAACCUCGUG